Molecule: ribosomal RNA, 195 nt
Filed under: Firmicutes bacterium P17
Lineage: Bacteria; Bacillati; Bacillota
Description: partial 16S ribosomal RNA
Rfam family: Bacterial small subunit ribosomal RNA
Source: RNAcentral
CCUACGGGAGGCAGCAGUAGGGAAUCUUCCGCAAUGGACGAAAGUCUGACGGAGCAACGCCGCGUGAGUGAAGAAGGUUUUCGGAUCGUAAAACUCUGUUGUUAGGGAAGAACAAGUGCCGUUCGAAUAGGGCGGCACCUUGACGGUACCUAACCAGAAAGCCACGGCUAACUACGUGCCAGCAGCCGCGGUAAU